GGGAGAGACACUGCAGCCACUGCCAGGACAAGCAGCAUGUAGAGACUCUGGGUCCUGCACACGUUUAACUUGUGGGUGGUUGAGUUGGCAGAUAUGAAACCUGAGGACGGAGGUCAGACUGUGUCUAAAAACAGAUCAGACAGCCUUCAUCAUCAGUCACUGAAACGGUAUCAAGCACCUUCUGUAUCCCUACCCUGUGGUAUCACCACAUAGUGCCAUGGUGAACAGGAUAGGUUCCGUUUGAAGAAGCCAACCUGUCGGAAGCACACAUUGAAUGGACACACGUCCAGAGACCGGCCGCCCCACAAGACCUGAAGAUGUCCAGAGACCGGCCUCCCCUGCAAGACCUGAAGACGUCCAGAGACCGGCCGCCCCUGAAAGACGUGAUGUCUUAUGCUGACAGAUAGGAUACAAUGGCACCUGCUUGGAGGACGGGGGAUAUCUGCAUGUUUGCUUCUCAGAGAUAUUUAUUUAUUUAUUUAUUUAUUUAUUUAUUUAUUUAUUUAUUUAUUUAUUUAUUUAUUUAUUUAUUUAUGUUUUUCGAGACAGGGUUUCUCGGUGCAGCUUUGGAGACUAUCCUGGAUCUCAC
This is a non-coding RNA of Peromyscus maniculatus bairdii (prairie deer mouse), 589 nucleotides long. The record is from RefSeq and is a predicted model, not a curated record. Lineage: Eukaryota; Metazoa; Chordata; Mammalia; Rodentia; Cricetidae.